CUGCAUGGAGCCGACCUUGAAAUACCACCCUUUAAUGUUUGAUGUUCUAACGUGGACCCGUGAUCCGGGUUGCGGACAGUGUCUGGUGGGUAGUUUGACUGGGGCGGUCUCCUCCUAAAGAGUAACGGAGGAGCACGAAGGUUGGCUAAUCCUGGUCGGACAUCAGGAGGUUAGUGCAAUGGCAUAAGCCAGCUUGACUGCGAGCGUGACGGCGCGAGCAGGUGCGAAAGCAGGUCAUAGUGAUCCGGUGGUUCUGAAUGGAAGGGCCAUCGCUCAACGGAUAAAAGGUACUCCGGGGAUAACAGGCUGAUACCGCCCAAGAGUUCAUAUCGACGGCGGUGUUUGGCACCUCGAUGUCGGCUCAUCACAUCCUGGGGCUGAAGUAGGUCCCAAGGGUAUGGCUGUUCGCCAUUUAAAGUGGUACGCGAGCUGGGUUUAGAACGUCGUGAGACAGUUCGGUCCCUAUCUGCCGUGGGCGCUGGAGAACUGAGGGGGGCUGCUCCUAGUACGAGAGGACCGGAGUGGACGCAUCACUGGUGUUCGGGUUGUCAUGCCAAUGGCACUGCCCGGUAGCUAAAUGCGGAAGAGAUAAGUGCUGAAAGCAUCUAAGCACGAAACUUGCCCCGAGAUGAGUUCUCCCUGAGACUUAGAGUCUCCUGAAGGAACGUUGAAGACGACGACGUUGAUAGG
Molecule: ribosomal RNA, 690 nt
Filed under: Salmonella enterica subsp. enterica serovar Paratyphi B var. L(+) tartrate +
Lineage: Bacteria; Pseudomonadati; Pseudomonadota; Gammaproteobacteria; Enterobacterales; Enterobacteriaceae
Description: partial 23S ribosomal RNA
Rfam family: Bacterial large subunit ribosomal RNA
Source: RNAcentral